CCAAUGGACCAAGCUACCCCAGGGGUACCAGUGCAAUCCCCUUCACGAGCCCAUAUUGGCAAGGGGGUUUACGACCUUGAUGUUGGAUUAGGACAUCCUAAUGGUGCAGCUGCUCUUAAGGGUUCAUUUGUUCAAUGAUUAAUAGUCCUCCAUGAUCUGAGUUCAGACCAGAGCAAUCCAGGUUGGU
Molecule: non-coding RNA, 187 nt
Filed under: Phalacrocorax carbo (great cormorant)
Lineage: Eukaryota; Metazoa; Chordata; Aves; Suliformes; Phalacrocoracidae
Description: Bacterial large subunit ribosomal RNA
Rfam family: Bacterial large subunit ribosomal RNA
Source: Rfam by way of RNAcentral